AUUGAACGCUGGCGGCAGGCUUAACACAUGCAAGUCGAGCGGGGUGAUGGUGCUUGCACUAUCACUUAGCGGCGGACGGGUGAGUAAUGCUUAGGAAUCUGCCUAUUAGUGGGGGACAACAUCUCGAAAGGGAUGCUAAUACCGCAUACGUCCUACGGGAGAAAGCAGGGGAUCACUUGUGACCUUGCGCUAAUAGAUGAGUCUAAGUCGGAUUAGCUAGUUGGUGGGGUAAAGGCCUACCAAGGCGACGAUCUGUAGCGGGUCUGAGAGGAUGAUCCGCCACACUGGGAAUGAGACACGGCCCAGACUCCUACGGGAGGCAGCAGUGGGGAAUAUUGAACAAUGGGGGGAACCCUGAUCCAGCCAUGCCGCGUGUGUGAAGAAGGCCUUAUGGUUGUAAAGCACUUUAAGCGAGGAGGAGGCUCUUUUGGUUAAUACCCAAGAUGAGUGGACGUUACUCGCAGAAUAAGCACCGGCUAACUCUGUGCCAGCCGCCGCAGUAA
Molecule: ribosomal RNA, 503 nt
Filed under: uncultured bacterium
Lineage: Bacteria
Description: partial 16S ribosomal RNA
Rfam family: Bacterial small subunit ribosomal RNA
Source: RNAcentral